RNAcentral lists this ribosomal RNA (440 nucleotides) under uncultured bacterium. RNAcentral describes it as "bacterial SSU rRNA". It matches the Rfam family "Bacterial small subunit ribosomal RNA", at positions 338 to 795 of the family's 1533-position model. The record is from RNAcentral.
CCUACGGGGGGCAGCAGUGGGGAAUAUUGGACAAUGGGCGAAAGCCUGAUCCAGCAAUGCCGCGUGAGUGAAGAAGGCCUUAGGGUUGUAAAGCUCUUUCACCGGUGAAGAUAAUGACGGUAACCGGAGAAGAAGCCCCGGCUAACUUCGUGCCAGCAGCCGCGGUAAUACGAAGGGGGCUAGCGUUGUUCGGAAUUACUGGGCGUAAAGCGCGCGUAGGCGGAUAGAUAAGUCAGAGGUGAAAUCCCGGGGCUCAACCCCGGAAUUGCCUUUGAUACUGUUUAUCUUGAGUGCAGAAGAGGUAAGUGGAUUUCCGAGUGUAGAGGUGAAAUUCGUAGAUAUUCGGAGGAACACCAGUGGCGAAGGCAGCUUACUGGUCUGCAACUGACGCUGUGGCGCGAAAGCGUGGGGAGCAAACAGGAUUAGAUACCCGCGUAGUC